CUCGGUAUCUGUUAAUUUGGCAAAUUUCGGUGAAUGUGGACAAAACUGCGGAAUGCUUGAAAUUCUGUUAUAAUAAGCAUACAUAUAUAUACUAGCACUUUACGUUCGCCCAUUUACUUCACGGUAGGUAACACUUCAACGCAGAACUGUUUUACUUGUUGACGUAUCCUCUGUAUCCAAUAAUUUUACAAAUUUCGGUGGCUGGAUCAAAUUGAGGAAUACUUACAUUUUAAUAUAACAAACAUACACAUAUACACAUACACUUUACGUUUGCCCGGUUACGUCACGGUAGGUAACACUUUUACGAAGAACUUUUGUUAACUAUUGACAUAUUUUCUGUAUAUCGAAUCAUUUUGACAAAUCUCGGUGACGGUGGAUAAAACUGUGGAAUGUGCCAAACUCUGCUAUAUUAAAAUACAUAUAUAAAGAUACACAAUAAGAUCGCCCGUUUACUUCACUGUAGGCAACACAUUUAUGAAGAACUUUAUCACAUGUUGACGUAUUCUCGGUAUCUAAUAAUUUUGAAAAAUCUCGGUAUCUGUCGAUAAAAUUGCGGAUAGCUUUAAACGUUGCUAUAACAAACAAACGCAUAUAUACAUACACUUUACGAUCUAACGCUUUCUUCACGGCAGGUGAC
This 637-nucleotide long non-coding RNA is filed under the name Mytilus galloprovincialis (Mediterranean mussel). Lineage: Eukaryota; Metazoa; Mollusca; Bivalvia; Mytilida; Mytilidae. The record is from RNAcentral.